GAACGAAGCACUUUGAUCGAUUUCUUCGGAUUGAAAUUUUAGUGACUGAGUGGCGGACGGGUGAGUAACGCGUGGGUAACCUGCCUCACACAGGGGGAUAACAGUUGGAAACGGCUGCUAAUACCGCAUAAGCGCACAGUACCGCAUGGUACAGUGUGAAAAACUCCGGUGGUGUGAGAUGGACCCGCGUCUGAUUAGCUAGUUGGCAGGGCAACGGCCUACCAAGGCGACGAUCAGUAGCCGACCUGAGAGGGUGACCGGCCACAUUGGGACUGAGACACGGCCCAAACUCCUACGGGAGGCAGCAGUGGGGAAUAUUGCACAAUGGGGGAAACCCUGAUGCAGCGACGCCGCGUGAGCGAAGAAGUAUUUCGGUAUGUAAAGCUCUAUCAGCAGGGAAGAAGAAAUGACGGUACCUGACUAAGAAGCACCGGCUAAAUACGUGCCAGCAGCCGCGGUAAUACGUAUGGUGCAAGCGUUAUCCGGAUUUACUGGGUGUAAAGGGAGCGCAGGCGGAAGGCUAAGUCUGAUGUGAAAGCCCGGGGCUCAACCCCGGUACUGCAUUGGAAACUGGUCAUCUAGAGUGUCGGAGGGGUAAGUGGAAUUCCUAGUGUAGCGGUGAAAUGCGUAGAUAUUAGGAGGAACACCAGUGGCGAAGGCGGCUUACUGGAC
This 672-nucleotide ribosomal RNA is filed under the name uncultured Lachnospiraceae bacterium. RNAcentral's name for it is "bacterial SSU rRNA". It matches the Rfam family "Bacterial small subunit ribosomal RNA", at positions 49 to 734 of the family's 1533-position model. The record is from RNAcentral. Lineage: Bacteria; Bacillati; Bacillota; Clostridia; Lachnospirales; Lachnospiraceae.